This 82-nucleotide transfer RNA is filed under the name Acidimicrobiia bacterium. Its description in RNAcentral is "tRNA-Leu". It matches the Rfam family "tRNA". Rfam says of the family: Transfer RNA (tRNA) molecules are approximately 80 nucleotides in length. Their secondary structure includes four short double-helical elements and three loops (D, anti-codon, and T loops). Lineage: Bacteria; Bacillati; Actinomycetota; Acidimicrobiia. The record is from RNAcentral.
GCCCGGGUGGCGGAAUGGCAGACGCGGUCGACUCAAAAUCGACUGUCCUCGUGACGUGCGGGUUCGAAUCCCGCCCCGGGCA